RNAcentral lists this transfer RNA (74 nucleotides) under Acidiferrobacter sp. SPIII_3. It matches the Rfam family "tRNA". From Rfam's summary of the family: Transfer RNA (tRNA) molecules are approximately 80 nucleotides in length. Their secondary structure includes four short double-helical elements and three loops (D, anti-codon, and T loops). Lineage: Bacteria; Pseudomonadati; Pseudomonadota; Gammaproteobacteria; Acidiferrobacterales; Acidiferrobacteraceae. The record is from Rfam by way of RNAcentral.
GGGUCUGUAGCUCAGGUGGCUAGAGCGCACCCCUGAUAAGGGUGAGGUCGGUGGUUCGAAUCCUCCCAGACCCA